Molecule: ribosomal RNA, 252 nt
Filed under: uncultured bacterium
Lineage: Bacteria
Description: partial 16S ribosomal RNA
Rfam family: Bacterial small subunit ribosomal RNA
Source: RNAcentral
UACGUAGGGGGCAAGCGUUGUCCGGAAUCAUUGGGCGUAAAGAGCGUGUAGGCGGCUCGGUAAGUCCGCUGUGAAAGUCCAGGGCUCAACCCUGGAAUGCCGGUGGAAACUGUCGAGCUAGAGUCCGGAAGAGGCGAGUGGAAUUCCUGGUGUAGCGGUGAAAUGCGCAGAUAUCAGGAGGAACACCGGUGGUGUAGACGGCUUUCUGGACCGUAACUGACGCUGAGACACGAAAGCGUGGGUAGCAAACAG